CAGAGGGUGCGAGCGUUAAUCGGAAUUACUGGGCGUAAAGCGCGCGUAGGCGGCUUUGCAAGUCGGGUGUGAAAUCCCCAGGCUUAACCUGGGAACUGCAUUCGAGACUGCAUUGCUAGAGUAUGGGAGAGGGAAGUGGAAUUUCCGGUGUAGCGGUGAAAUGCGUAGAUACCGGAAGGAACAUCAGUGGCGAAAGCGACUUCCUGGACCAAUACUGACGCUCAUGUGCGAAAGCGUGGGGAGCAAACAGGAUUAGAUACCCUGGUAGUCCACGCCAUAAACGAUGAGAACUGGAUGUCGGGAGGGUCUGCCUCUCGGUGUCGUAGCUAACGCGUUAAGUUCUCCGCCUGGGGAGUACGGCCGCAAGGUUG
RNAcentral lists this ribosomal RNA (371 nucleotides) under uncultured organism. RNAcentral's name for it is "bacterial SSU rRNA". It matches the Rfam family "Bacterial small subunit ribosomal RNA", at positions 526 to 896 of the family's 1533-position model. The record is from RNAcentral.